This 1143-nucleotide long non-coding RNA is filed under the name Cairina moschata (Muscovy duck). RNAcentral's name for it is "domestica (muscovy Duck (domestic type)) lncRNA (ENSCMMG00000015006.1)". Lineage: Eukaryota; Metazoa; Chordata; Aves; Anseriformes; Anatidae. The record is from RNAcentral.
AGAAUCUCCAUCACUGGAAAUGUUUCAGUGAGGAUGAGAUGUCUGAAGAUAUAUAUAGCAAGCUAUAUAUUUGGCAAGCUCAGGUGAUAAUUUAGUCAAUUAGGGAAGUCCUAUGGCCUGCACGACUAAUGAGUCAGAAGAAAUGGCUCACAAAAGCAUUUCUUCUGGCUGUGUAAUCUGCAUCCUUGUAGUGGGUUUAUGUGGCAAGGUUUUGGUAGCAGGGAGCCAUAGGGGUGGUUUCUGUGAGAAAGAUCUAGAAGCUGCCCCAUAUUUGGGAAGGGCCCCAUUGUUUUCCAGAACUGAGCCAAUAAGCGAUGUUGUUUUGCGCCUCUGUGAGAGCAUAUUUAAGACGGGAAAAAAAACGCUGCGCCACACAGCAGCUGGGAGAGUGAAAGGAGUGAGAAACGGCCUUGCAGGUGCCAAGCCCAUGGAGUACCACGGUGGAGCAGGGUUCCACGCUGCAGCCCGUGGAGGAGACCACGGUGGAGCAGGUGGCCCUGCACCGAUGGAGGCUGCCGCCUGUGGAAGACCCCUGCCGGAGCAGAUUCCAGGCCGGACCUGUAGCCUGUGGAGAGGAGCCCACGCAGGAGCAGGUGACCUGGCAGGAGCUGCUGCCUGUGGGGGAGCCAGGUUGGAGCAGUUUUCUCCUGAGGGAUGGACCCCGUGGUACGGACCCAUAUCUGGAGCAGUUCUGGAAGAGCUGCUGCCUGUGGGAAGCCCACACCGGAUCAGUUCAUCAAGGACUGCAUCCCGUGGGUGGGACCCCACAGCACAGGGGACGAGAGUGAUCGAGAAGGAGCGGCAGAGAAGUGCUGUAGACUGACCAUAACCCCCAUUCCCCCGUUCCCCUGCGCCGCUCGGGGGGAGGAGGUGGAAGAGGGUGGAUGGGGGGGAAGGUGCUUUUGGUUUCUUUCCUUUGUUUCUCACUUCUCUCGCUUGUUAGUAAUAGGCAAUAAAUCUUACUAUCUUUUUAUGCUGAGUCUGUUUUGCCCGUUACAAUAAUUAUUGCGUGAUUUUCUCAUCCUUAUCUCAACCUCUUAAGCCCUUUUCACAUAUUUUCUCCCCAUUCCUCUUUGAGGAGGGGGAGUGAGAGAGCGGCUGUGGUGGAGCUCGGAUGCCCACUCGAGCGGAACCACAACAAUC